UUUUUUUAUAAUAAAGUAAUGCUUUUUUGGUGUAAAUAUAUAUUUUUUAAUUAUUCUUAAAAAAAAUACCCCUAAAUAAAUAAUUGUGCAAAGACUAGAAUAAGGUUUAAGAAAGUACUUAGGAGUAGGACCGUCGUAAUAAGAAAAUUGGCCCCUUCAUUUUUCUAUACGUAUGAGUCUAUCAGAAAAUGUUGGUUUUGUCAAAGAGACUUUUUCAAGGACUCUUCUUCGUUGGAAAAUGUCUGUACUCUUGCAGUAACGACCAUGAUCUACUAACGACUAAUUUUUAUCGGUCGAUAAUGGUUUAAUCGAUUUCGGUUGGUGAGUUGCUUUGAUUAAUUAUUUGUAUUGAUGUUUACUUAUAUCUUCUAAGUUUGAAGAACAAAAGAUAUUAGAAAAUCUGGAGAUGUGGUGGAAAAAUAUCCUAAAUGAAAAAAUAGAUUCUGCCAAUCAAAUUUCACUAUAUAUUUUUGUAAAUAUUUUCAAAUGAUUAAGAGUGUAAUUAUGAUAUGAAAAAGCAUUCUAAUAUUGAACUUAGGGAUAAUAUAAAAAGCAUACCAGGAGGAGAUUGAAGCAAAUGUCUUUUUGCAGUGGCAGUGGAAGCUAGAAGAAACAGAAGACACAACAAAGCAGCAACUAUUCUUGAGAAUUGCUUUUUGGAAGCCAUUUUUUCUUAAAAUAAACUUUUUUUAUUAAUUAUUCUUAUUUUUGUGCAUUUUCUAAAGUUA
RNAcentral lists this long non-coding RNA (728 nucleotides) under Cucumis sativus (cucumber). RNAcentral's name for it is "long non-coding RNA (CSAT_LNC001799)". Lineage: Eukaryota; Viridiplantae; Streptophyta; Magnoliopsida; Cucurbitales; Cucurbitaceae. The record is from RNAcentral.